CAUGGCCGCGGCGCGGCGCGCGAAGGCCGACACGCUGGCGCUGCGGCGGCGGCUCCUCAGCUCUUCCUGCAGACUCUUUUUCCCUGAGGAUCCCGUUAAGAUUGUCCGGGCCCACGGGCAGUACAUGUACGACGAGCAGGGGGCAGAGUACCUGGACUGCAUCAACAACGUGGCUCAUGUUGGGCACUGCCACCCUCGAGUGGUCCAGGCAGCACAUGAACAGAACCAGGUGCUCAACACCAACAGCCGAUACCUGCACGACAACAUCGUGGAUUACGCACAGAGGCUGUCAGAGACCCUGCCGGAGAAGCUCUGUGUGUUUUAUUUCCUGAAUUCUGGGUCAGAGGCCAACGACCUAGCCCUGAGGCUGGCCCGCCAGUACACAGGACACCAAGACGUGGUGGUGUUAGACCAUGCCUACCACGGUCACCUGAGCUCCCUGAUUGACAUCAGUCCCUACAAGUUCCGCAGCCUGGAUGGCCAGAAGGAGUGGGUCCAUGUGGCACCUCUCCCAGACACCUACCGAGGUCCCUACCGGGAGGACCACCCCAAUCCAGCUGUGGCCUAUGCCAAUGAGGUGAAACGCGUGGUCAGCAGCGCACAGGAGAAGGGCAGGAAGAUUGCAGCCUUCUUCGCCGAGUCUCUGCCCAGCGUGGGAGGGCAGAUCAUCCCCCCUGCCGGCUACUUCUCCCGAGUGGCAGAGCACAUUCACGGGGCCGGAGGGGUCUUUGUCGCAGAUGAGAUCCAGGUCGGCUUUGGCCGAGUAGGCAAGCACUUCUGGGCCUUCCAGCUGCAGGGGGACGACUUCAUCCCUGACAUCGUUACCAUGGGCAAGUCCAUUGGCAACGGCCACCCUGUUGCCUGUGUGGCCACAACACAGCCUGUGGCAAGGGCGUUUGAAGUCACCGGUGUUGAGUACUUCAACACGUUUGGGGGAAGCCCGGUGUCCUGCGCUGUGGGGCUGGCCGUCCUAGAAGUCUUAGAGAAGGAGCAACUCCAGGCUCAUGCCGCGCAUGUGGGCAGCUUCCUGAUGGAGCUCCUCAGGCAGCAAAAGGCCAAACAUCCCAUCAUCGGGGACGUCAGGGGUGUUGGGCUCUUUGUUGGCGUGGAUCUGAUCAAAGAUGAGGCCACGAGGACACCAGCAACGGAAGAGGCCGACUACUUGGUAUCCAGGCUGAAGGAGAACUACAUUUUGCUGAGCACAGAUGGCCCUGGAAGGAACGUCCUGAAGUUUAAGCCCCCAAUGUGCUUCAGCCUGGACAACGCACGACACGUGGUGGCAAAGCUGGACGCCAUUCUGACAGACAUGGAAGAGAAGGUGAGAAGCUGUGAAACACUGAGGCUCCAGCCCUGAACCAGCCCUGCUUGGUCAAGUGUCCUCCAGCUUCAGCUAAUAGUGGGAGUCUCAGCUGCCCAGAUUAUCUACUCAUCCCACCAAAACACGCAGCUUGCAUGUGCUAACAGAAGCAGCUACUUCCUCCUUCAGCUCCUCCUAGGGGAUGCUGCUAGGAGAUCGUAGAGGAUGCGGACUCAGAACAGUAAGCGGUGGCUCAAAAAGAAACUCAUCUCACCCAGACACUCUAUUGAGAAGGUGACCCUGCUCUCCAUCUUGCAGAUAAAGCUCUGAGGCUCCACUGGUUUGUUCGGAUGGGCCAGAUGUCGACAUCUCCCUAGGUCCCAAAGAGUCCACUUCCUCUUUGCUCAAAAAUCUGCCCACUGAGGAUAGGGUGGGAUUGGGGACUGAGGUGCUCCUGCUUAAAUAAAUCCCAAUACUGCAUUUUUAAGCUAAGUCCCCUGAUACACACUCCCAUUAAAUAUAGCCCAUUUUACACACUGUAUCCCCAUGCAAGCAUAAACCUUUAACUGGCAAAUUACCCCUACACCAAGUGAUACAAUCUGAUGUUUUCUAUCCUACUGAAUUAAAAACAUGAAUACAACCAACUAAAUAUACUUAUUUCUGACACCACCAGCAGUUUCACUUAAAUCCCGCCUUAGAGGCUCUUCCCAUCCAUUUCCCAUUAUUGCACACAAAGAAAAAGGACUCUCUGUAUCACUGUCCAGUGGAGUAACAACUAAUGCCUCACUUGUCUGCCCCUAAAUUUUCUGUUACAUUUAAGGGCCUAAUCCAAUCUUUCCAAACUCUCAAUCUGGAUGGAGGCUUCCAGGAGCCCCACCCUACCUGUCCCCCCUUAUCUGGCUGCCAAGUCCUACACUGCCACAGUGCUUGCCACACCCUGCCACAGCAGGCCACACCCUCAACUCCAACUGCCAACUUAAAAGCCUAAACUACCUUCUCCCUGACCAGAGUCCAGGGAAGAGCUACACUUCUCACUACACAAGACUCCACUCAUUUGAAAGCACAACUGGCCCUGGAUUUAAGCUGGCCAGGACCCUGGAAGUUCUCUGGGAGGGAUCUUGCCCUGAGGGUAACGUUGAUAAAGCAGUGCCCAAGUGGACGGAAAGGGACAAAAAUGUGGUUGUAGAGCCCCUUCCCAACUGUGCCCCCUUCUCCAAAACAAACAAACAAAUUUUGGUUAUAAAAAGAGGUAGAAAAAUCCUGUAGCAAGAAAAACCUUCACCAUAGAGGGAUAUCAGUGAGUUGCAGAAGUUCUAAACUCUUCUGAGAUCUUAGCUGGAGGCGUUAUACACCCAGGACUCUAAGAUCUAGAACACUGUCACCUCUAGCUUUAAAUCAGGAACCAAAAAGGCCACUCAGCAUGCUCUAGUGGACAGGCCACACUUCCU
Non-coding RNA from Microcebus murinus (gray mouse lemur), 2745 nucleotides. The record is from RefSeq and is a predicted model, not a curated record. Lineage: Eukaryota; Metazoa; Chordata; Mammalia; Primates; Cheirogaleidae.